UUUUAUUUGAGAGUUUGAUCCUGGCUCAGGAUGAACGCUGGCGGCGUGCCUAACACAUGCAAGUUGAGCGAUUUACUUCGGUAAAGAGCGGCGGACGGGUGAGUAACGCGUGGGUAACCUACCCUGUACACACGGAUAACAUACCGAAAGGUAUGCUAAUACGGGAUAAUAUAUUUGAGAGGCAUCUCUUAAAUAUCAAAGGUGAGCCAGUACAGGAUGGACCCGCGUCUGAUUAGCUAGUUGGUAAGGUAACGGCUUACCAAGGCGACGAUCAGUAGCCGACCUGAGAGGGUGAUCGGCCACAUUGGAACUGAGACACGGUCCAAACUCCUACGGGAGGCAGCAGUGGGGAAUAUUGCACAAUGGGCGAAAGCCUGAUGCAGCAACGCCGCGUGAGUGA
RNAcentral lists this ribosomal RNA (400 nucleotides) under Clostridioides difficile. RNAcentral describes it as "bacterial SSU rRNA". It matches the Rfam family "Bacterial small subunit ribosomal RNA", at positions 1 to 408 of the family's 1533-position model. The record is from RNAcentral. Lineage: Bacteria; Bacillati; Bacillota; Clostridia; Peptostreptococcales; Peptostreptococcaceae.